Capra hircus (goat) is the source of this 1245-nucleotide long non-coding RNA. The record is from Ensembl. Lineage: Eukaryota; Metazoa; Chordata; Mammalia; Artiodactyla; Bovidae.
CCAGAUGUUGCUAAGAAGGUGCCCAUGGACACAGUGAGUACGGAAUUCCGAGUCUGAAAGGGUUCUAGGUUCCGUUUCACGUGAGAUAGUUGAGGACCCUCCCCAAGGCCAGGCCAGGCUCGUGACUGCAAAGGCCGUGAUCUCUGUAUCACAAUGUCAGUCUAGUGACAUGAUCACUUUAGGUCUGCAGGGAAGCAAACCAAUUCUGGACCCUAAGGAACACCAGACCCUAAGGAGGAAACACAUUGUUGACUUGAUAUUUCGUUGGUUCAUUGCUAGUUGUAAGUUCUGUGUGUGAAAGGGCUGAAAUACUUUAGUUGUGAGGGCUCAGGGUCACAUGCUCAAGUCUGGUACUGUGACCAAAAUACCUCUAGUUUUAAAAGCCACCAGUAACUGAUCAGCAGAAAUCCUGUUAGUCUGUAGCAUGUCAUUGAACUGUGAGCAGUAAGACCUCCUGGACAAUUCCCCAAUGGGAUGUGAAGUAAGGUACCUAAUUGUGACCAAGACCACCAGAGUACAGGAAGGGUGGUUUUCAAUUAGGCUAUAUAUGCCAUAGCACAGGAUUGUGUACAGCCCACCUCAUGACAGUUCACUGGCAAUCUGGGUAAAUCAGGAACCCAAGGGCAGCACUUCCAUGGCAGAUGGUGACUGGAAAUGCCCCCUGGGACUCCAGCGUGCUAGCAGGCAAGAAUCCAGAAGAAUCCCAGGGCCUGAGAAAAUCUAGAUGGACAGAGACCUAAAGGGAUUAUUCUGAUGACUUAAAAAGAGGAGCCCAGAUUUCCUGCCUGAGUGUGCUUUGUGGACCCGAAUGAUUGCUGGACUCUUGUAUACAUGCACCCUGGACAGCACAUUCUGGAGGAAUCCUUGGGGAUCAAGUUGUACAGAAUAUCCAUGGGCUACAAAAUCUACAUCCUACUAGAAGAGAGAUGGUCAGAAGGUACACGGUUGCCCAGCUUCCAGAACACGCUGCAGAUCUUACGACUCCUGGAAUUCUGAGUUCCAGGUGGAUGGUUAUACUAUUGUGCCGCGUAGACUAACUUUUCAAAGGCUCUUGACAGAAGAAAGGAUUUUCAGUAGCAUUUCAAAUGGCAUACCCGAGGCCUAUAAGGGUCAUAGUUUGCCCUGCCUCUCCGGUAUCCAGGUUUCUACUUUCUGUAUCACAUUCUCAGGCAUGUGGAAGGAGCUUUUGGUUCCCAGGCAAGCAGGAUAAAUCCAGGUCAGAAGGGUUCUGGGAAUAUAGAAAAG